CAUCGUUGCCCCAAUGCCAGCGCCUCGUGCUAGGCGUCGGGCGGGGCGAAUGUUGGCUUCCCGUGAGCAUCGUCUCACGGUUGGUUGAAAACUGAGUCCGUGGUGGAGUGCACCACGAUGGAUGGUGGUUGAGUAGAACCUCGAGACCGAUCGUGGGUGUCCCUCUGCCGGCUUAGGGACUCCUCGACCCACGGGCGUCGAAGGAACGCCAAAACGGGA
Molecule: ribosomal RNA, 219 nt
Filed under: Dermatophyllum secundiflorum
Lineage: Eukaryota; Viridiplantae; Streptophyta; Magnoliopsida; Fabales; Fabaceae
Source: RNAcentral